CCUACGGGUGGCAGCAGUGAGGAAUAUUGGUCAAUGGACGAGAGUCUGAACCAGCCAAGUAGCGUGAAGGAUGACUGCCCUAUGGGUUGUAAACUUCUUUUAUAUGGGAAUAAAAUGUUCCACGUGUGGGAUUUUGUAUGUACCAUAUGAAUAAGGAUCGGCUAACUCCGUGCCAGCAGCCGCGGUAAUACGGAGGAUCAGAGCGUUAUCCGGAUUUAUUGGGUUUAAAGGGAGCGUAGGUGGAUUGUUAAGUCAGUUGUGAAAGUUUGCGACUCAACCGUAAAAUUGCAGUUGAAACUGGCAGUCUUGAGUACAGUAGAGGUGGGCGGAAUUCGUGGUGUAGCGGUGAAAUGCUUAGAUAUCACGAAGAACUCCGAUUGCGAAGGCAGUUCACUGGACUGCAACUGACACUGAGGCUCGAAAGUGUGGGUAUCAAACAGGAUUAGAUACCCGAGUAGUC
This 460-nucleotide ribosomal RNA is filed under the name uncultured bacterium. RNAcentral's name for it is "partial 16S ribosomal RNA". It matches the Rfam family "Bacterial small subunit ribosomal RNA", at positions 338 to 795 of the family's 1533-position model. The record is from RNAcentral.